Molecule: ribosomal RNA, 253 nt
Filed under: uncultured bacterium
Lineage: Bacteria
Description: partial 16S ribosomal RNA
Rfam family: Bacterial small subunit ribosomal RNA
Source: RNAcentral
UACGUAGGGGGCAAGCGUUGUCCGGAUUUAUUGGGCGUAAAGAGCGUGUAGGCGGCCAGACAGGUCCGUUGUGAAAACUCGAGGCUCAACCUCGAGACGCCGAUGGAAACCGUUUGGCUAGAGGAUGGAAGAGGCUCGUGGAAUUCCCAGUGUAGAGGUGAAAUUCGUAGAUAUUGGGAAGAACACCGGUGGCGAAGGCGGCGAGCUGGUCCAUCACUGACGCUGAGGCGCGAUAGCGUGGGGAGCAAACAGG